RNAcentral lists this long non-coding RNA (1029 nucleotides) under Marmota monax (woodchuck). The record is from RNAcentral. Lineage: Eukaryota; Metazoa; Chordata; Mammalia; Rodentia; Sciuridae.
CCGCGCUCCGGAAGUGGCUGAGAGCGGCGAGCGGGGCGCUGGCCUGCUGCGGGGCGCCAGCGUCGUUUCGCCUGGUUCGGUGGUUCUGAGCUCUGGGUACCUUACCGGUUAACUGGCGUUUCCCACAGCGCACACUCAAGUCUCCCUGGGUGGAGGGCGUACUAGCUCCAGCAGCCCGCGCUGCGAGCCCUGCAGCUCCGCCUCCGCCGGACGCCGGGAGUGGGCCCCGGAGUCGGGAGCGGCCUCGGCCUGCUCUCCUGGAGCAGCAGGGUUAGGCCUGCAGUGGGGAGAAGGGAACGAAUAAGCAGCCCGUGGUGCACAGACUGGAAAACCUGUUGUGUAUUGUUCAACUGCAAUGAAAAGCAGUUUCAAGCGAAAGGCUUGAAAAAUUGCUUGACACACAGCGACCUGCACUUACAGGCCUACUGACCAUAUAUGCUAAAGCGUUUUGCUCAGAGACUUAUUUAGGAAGUAGAGACACAUAAAAGGGAGGAUGCAGGCUAUCUCCAGAAUGAGAUGCCCCUCCUUGAGUUGGGUUCCAGUAUUUAGAGGGGCAGUAGUCAGGGGCCGGACUGGAGGUGGAGCCACAGGGGGACUUGGGGCCUGUCACUCAUCAGUUGCAAGGCCUCCUGAGUGUUUUCUGCAUCUCAGAGGCUCAGGGGUGUUUCCUUUGAGACACAGUAUAUCUCUUUACCUAAAUCGCCAUCUCAUCAUCCUCACAAAGGUUUGGUGAAGGGUGAAGAUUUGACUUCUAUGGCUGCUUCAGGGUGGCAAGGAGCAAUGACCUUGUCCCUUCCGGAUUAGUAGUCUCAACCUGACCUACAGGAAAUGGCUGUGGGAAUGGGUUAGAAUUCUUACACGGCCAUGCUUUUUAACAUGAAAUUGUAAUCUAGAAGAGACAAAAAGGCCACCAAGAGAUGUCAUGGGAGAAAAGAUGUCUCCAGAGAAGGGUCUGAGGCAUUCCCAGAGGAGCUGGGGAAUUCGACUGGGGGAGGGGGGAGUUGGAUCUUAGCAUAGGUGAUAGAAAAG